AUGAACGCUGGCGGCGUGCCUAAUACAUGCAAGUCGAGCGAACGGACGAGAAGCUUGCUUCUCUGAUGUUAGCGGCGGACGGGUGAGUAACACGUGGAUAACCUACCUAUAAGACUGGGAUAACUUCGGGAAACCGGAGCUAAUACCGGAUAAUAUUUUGAACCGCAUGGUUCAAAAGUGAAAGACGGUCUUGCUGUCACUUAUAGAUGGAUCCGCGCUGCAUUAGCUAGUUGGUAAGGUAACGGCUUACCAAGGCAACGAUGCAUAGCCGACCUGAGAGGGUGAUCGGCCACACUGGAACUGAGACACGGUCCAGACUCCUACGGGAGGCAGCAGUAGGGAAUCUUCCGCAAAGGGCGAAAGCCUGACGGAGCAACGCCGCGUGAGUGAUGAAGGUCUUCGGAUCGUAAAACCCUGUUAUUAGGGAAGAACAUAUGUGUAAGUAACUGUGCACAUCUUGACGGUACCUAAUCAGAAAGCCACGGCUAACUACGUG
Molecule: ribosomal RNA, 496 nt
Filed under: uncultured bacterium
Lineage: Bacteria
Description: partial 16S ribosomal RNA
Rfam family: Bacterial small subunit ribosomal RNA
Source: RNAcentral